AUUUGUCUUUCAUUUCAGCGGAAGAAUUUCUUUCUUCUGACAUUUUCAGAUUUAGCUUUUUAAGAUUUUUAUUUUUCGUAGCUAAUUUUCUACAUUCACCAUACAAAUCAUGAAAAGCAUUUAAUAGUUCAUCAUAAGAGAAUUCUUCUUGAAAUUUAUUAGGUGUAAAAUCAGAUUCAGAUUUUACCUUAUCUUCUUGUGCCAUAAAACAUAAGUUAGUUACCUCUUGUAGUUCUUUGGAGUUAGUAUCAUCAUUGUUGCUCCUAACUUUCAUUUUCUUGCUUGACUCUUUCUUGGUCAAGGCUUUCUUGCUUUUUAUCUCUUUCUUCCUUUCUUCUUGCUUCCUCUUCUUCUUUGUCUUUAGGAAGCUUUUGAAUUUUUCGGUGUUUGGGUAUGGAUCCUUGUUUUCAUCACCGAAUUCUUCAUUUGUUGUUCUUUCUUCCUGAUUGGGAGAUUCAACAUCUUUUUCUGCAGGCUCACUGUUAGUAUGUAAUUGAAGCACAUGUGAGCUAAUCUGAAUUUUG
RNAcentral lists this long non-coding RNA (524 nucleotides) under Phoenix dactylifera (date palm). Its description in RNAcentral is "long non-coding RNA (PDAC_LNC009082)". The record is from RNAcentral. Lineage: Eukaryota; Viridiplantae; Streptophyta; Magnoliopsida; Arecales; Arecaceae.